UCCUGCGCCGAUAGUUACGAUGCUGCUGUAAUCGACAGGCAAAGGAACCUGGUGAGAAUCCAGGACGGCCGCGCCACUGUUAAAAGUCAGACCCUGACCUGUCAUGACACGGACUGGGAC
RNAcentral lists this non-coding RNA (120 nucleotides) under Mycobacterium sp. Lineage: Bacteria; Bacillati; Actinomycetota; Actinomycetes; Mycobacteriales; Mycobacteriaceae. The record is from RNAcentral.